GACGAACGCUGGCGGCGUGCUUAACACAUGCAAGUCGAACGGAAGGGCCCUGCGUUUGUGGGGUUCUCGAUUGGCGAACGGGUGAGUAACACGUGAGUAACCUGCCCUUGAAUUUGGGGUAAAUUCAGGGAACUGGGGCUAAUACCGGGUAUGAUCUUCUGCUGCAUGGGGGUGGAUGGAAAGUUUCGGCUGUUGGGGCUAGACUCGCAGCUUAUCAGCUUGUUGGUGGGGUAGUGGCUUACCAAGGCUUUGACGGCUAGGCGGCCUGAGAGGGUGAACGGCCACAUUGGGACUGAGAUACGGACCAGACUCCUAUGGGCGGCAGCAGGCGAGAAUAUUGCACAAUGGGCGGAAGUCUGAUGCAGCAACGCCCCGUUCGGGAUGACGGCCUACGGGUUGUAAACCGCUUUCGACUGUGACGAAGCGUGAGUGACGGUAAUGGGUAAAGAAGCACCGGCUAACUACGUG
Molecule: ribosomal RNA, 468 nt
Filed under: uncultured bacterium
Lineage: Bacteria
Description: partial 16S ribosomal RNA
Rfam family: Bacterial small subunit ribosomal RNA
Source: RNAcentral